ACGCCGUAUUUUUGCAAGCUAGGAGGGUCCGGCUUAUUGCCCUUUCCCAUUGCCUUGCCGAAGAGACUGGAAUUUGGAUUCUCACGAAGGUCGACUGCAAAUCACUUCACCGUUCUUACGCGUCCAUAUUUAGCCCUCCAGAAUACAACUAGCAUUUCUACGGUUUUCCCAGCGGAAAUUAUAUAUGUAUAUAUACACACACGCG
This 205-nucleotide unclassified non-coding RNA is filed under the name Hevea brasiliensis (rubber tree). Lineage: Eukaryota; Viridiplantae; Streptophyta; Magnoliopsida; Malpighiales; Euphorbiaceae. The record is from RNAcentral.